UACCAGCUCUCCGAGUGGUAGGGAUGAUUAUUGGGCUUAAAGCGUCCGUAGCCGGCUUAGCAAGUUUCCUGUUAAAUUCAGCGACCUAAUCGUUGAGCCGCGGGAAAUACUACUAGGCUAGGAGGCGGGAGAGGUCGACGGUACUUCUGGGGUAGGGGUGAAAUCCUAUAAUCCCGGGAGGACCACCAGUGGCGAAGGCUGUCGACUAGAACGCGCUCGACGGUGAGGGACGAAAGCUGGGGGAGCGAACCGGAUUAGAUACCCGGGUAGUCCCAGCUGUAAACGAUGCGGGCUAGGUGUUGGGGUGGCUACGUGCCACUUCAGUGCCGCAGGGAAGCCAUUAAGCCUGCCGCCUGGGGAGUACGGCCGCAAGGCUGAAACUUAAAGGAAUUGGCGGGGGAGCACCACAAGGGGUGAAGCUUGCGGUUU
RNAcentral lists this ribosomal RNA (429 nucleotides) under uncultured archaeon. RNAcentral's name for it is "bacterial SSU rRNA". It matches the Rfam family "Archaeal small subunit ribosomal RNA", at positions 474 to 903 of the family's 1478-position model. The record is from RNAcentral.